CCUACGGGUGGCAGCAGUGGGGAAUUGUUCGCAAUGGGCGCAAGCCUGACGACGCAACGCCGCGUGGAGGAUGAAGGUCUUCGGAUUGUAAACUCCUGUUGACCGGGACGAAUGGCCCGCGAGUGAACAUCUCGAGGGAGUGACGGUACCGGUUGAGGAAGCCACGGCUAACUCUGUGCCAGCAGCCGCGGUAAUACAGAGGUGGCAAGCGUUGUUCGGAAUUACUGGGCGUAAAGGGCGCGUAGGCGGCCUUCUAAGUCGGACGUGAAAUCCCACGGCUCAACCGUGGAACCGCAGGGCGAACUGCUGGUCUUGAGGAAGCUAGAGGCUGGUAGAACGAUAGGUGGAGCGGUGGAAUGCGUAGAGAUCUAUCGGAAUGCCGAAAGUGAAGACAGCCAGCUGGGGCUUUCCUGACGCUAAAGCACGAAAGCGUGGGGAGC
This 440-nucleotide ribosomal RNA is filed under the name uncultured bacterium. RNAcentral's name for it is "bacterial SSU rRNA". It matches the Rfam family "Bacterial small subunit ribosomal RNA", at positions 338 to 769 of the family's 1533-position model. The record is from RNAcentral.